ACAGCAGCAGCCGCGGGAAUACGGAGGGUGCAAGCGUUAUCCGGAUUUAUUGGGUUUAAAGGGUCCGUAGGCGGAUCUGUAAGUCAGUGGUGAAAUCUCACAGCUUAACUGUGAAACUGCCAUUGAUACUGCAGGUCUUGAGUAAAUUUGAAGUGGCUGGAAUAAGUAGUGUAGCGGUGAAAUGCAUAGAUAUUACUUAGAACACCAAUUGCGAAGGCAGGUCACUAAGAUUUAACUGACGCUGAUGGACGAAAGCGUGGGGAGCGAACAGGAUUAGAUACCCGGGUAGUCCCUGUCUCUUAUAC
RNAcentral lists this ribosomal RNA (305 nucleotides) under uncultured bacterium. RNAcentral describes it as "partial 16S ribosomal RNA". It matches the Rfam family "Bacterial small subunit ribosomal RNA", at positions 505 to 807 of the family's 1533-position model. The record is from RNAcentral.